RNAcentral lists this ribosomal RNA (163 nucleotides) under Lespedeza patens. RNAcentral's name for it is "5.8S ribosomal RNA". It matches the Rfam family "5.8S ribosomal RNA". Rfam says of the family: 5.8S ribosomal RNA (5.8S rRNA) is a component of the large subunit of the eukaryotic ribosome. It is transcribed by RNA polymerase I as part of the 45S precursor that also contains 18S and 28S rRNA. Functionally, it is thought that 5.8S rRNA may be involved in ribosome translocation. The record is from RNAcentral. Lineage: Eukaryota; Viridiplantae; Streptophyta; Magnoliopsida; Fabales; Fabaceae.
GAACGACUCUCGGCAACGGAUAUCUCGGCUCUUGCAUCGAUGAAGAACGUAGCGAAAUGCGAUACUUGGUGUGAAUUGCAGAAUCCCGUGAACCAUCGAGUCUUUGAACGCAGGUUGCGCCCGAAGCCAUUAGGCCGAGGGCACGCCUGCCUGGGUGUCACAC